GACGAACGCUGGCGGCGUGCCUAAUACAUGCAAGUAGAACGCUGAAGGAGGAGCUUGCUUCUCUGGAUGAGUUGCGAACGGGUGAGUAACGCGUAGGUAACCUGCCUGGUAGCGGGGGAUAACUAUUGGAAACGAUAGCUAAUACCGCAUAAUAGUGGAUGUUGCAUGACAUUUGCUUAAAAGGUGCAAUUGCAUCACUACCAGAUGGACCUGCGUUGUAUUAGCUAGUUGGUGAGGUAACGGCUCACCAAGGCAACGAUACAUAGCCGACCUGAGAGGGUGAUCGGCCACACUGGGACUGAGACACGGCCCAGACUCCUACGGGAGGCAGCAGUAGGGAAUCUUCGGCAAUGGACGGAAGUCUGACCGAGCAACGCCGCGUGAGUGAAGAAGGUUUUCGGAUCGUAAAGCUCUGUUGUAAGAGAAGAACGAGUGUGAGAGUGGAAAGUUCACACUGUGACGGUAUCUUACCAGAAAGGGACGGCUAACUACGUG
This 495-nucleotide ribosomal RNA is filed under the name uncultured bacterium. RNAcentral describes it as "partial 16S ribosomal RNA". It matches the Rfam family "Bacterial small subunit ribosomal RNA", at positions 28 to 507 of the family's 1533-position model. The record is from RNAcentral.